CCGCUCGCCCCCACCGCAGCCGACGUUGCGUGCCAUCAACGCCUGUGCCCCAUUCCUCAGAGACAGUGGCCGCCUUGCCCAUCCCCGCAAGGUACGCGGCCCCCGUCCACUCUUCCUCUACCCCCAUCACCCCCAAUCCCAGCCGCCGUCUCUCCUAAAUCAAGCAAGGAGAUAUGUAGAUCAACCGGAUGGUGAAGGAUCCGGGCGGUGGCAGACUAGGUGUGGCCUGCAGCGGAGACGGGGAGGAGCUCCUUCACUGCUGUGCGGACGAGCGCUAACCCCGCGUGGUAAACCCUAACCGACUCACACACUUCUUCUCUCCCCCGCGUGGUGGUCCCUUGAGGACGAGGGCACGGCGUGGACGGAGUGCUGCCCGUAUUUCCCCCCAACGAUUUGGCGGUGAUGACGAUCUCAAAACGGUUUGGAGGCUUCACGACUCUGUGUGAGUGGAAGAAGAAAGCAAACUGAACUACUGCACCUUAGCUUCCCGAUGCGGUAAAUUGUGCCCUGCCUUUUUAUUACCCCGUCGUCCCCUUCCCACCCUCCUCCCCCGCCCGCCCGCCUGCCGGCGUCCCUUUCUUCUCCUCGUGCGGCGGCCCGCACCCUCACGAGAUCUAGACUAGACGCCGAGGCCACGACGCUUUGCCUACCUCGCCUCCUUUUCCACUGUUGCUACGAGUAGUAGAUCUUGUUUCAGACUCGAGCAUUCCAGUUAUUGCCAAUGGGGAAUUGUAGAUGGACGUGGCUAUGUUGCCACAUUAGCACUCGGUGCCCAAGGUGUUUGUUUAGGAACUAGGUUUGUUGCUACCGAGGAAAGCUUUGCAUAUCCUAUUUAUAAGCAAAAGCUAAUCGAGAUGAGUCACACAUACUACACAAAUAUAUUCAAACGUGCUAGAUGGCCUGAUGCUCCACAGCAGUAUCCUGGAAACACCCAUCUAUGAUGAAUGGAAGAAUAAUUUCCCAGACCAGGAAACAGAGGAAGAUCAACCCUUCAUAGGCCACUCUAUCGUCCAUGUUGUGGUUAGAAUUUUAGAUAUGGGAACUAGCUGGCUUGCCCGCACUGCGAUGACAUGUUAUGCGCUUUCUCCAAUGGCUAAGGUAUGCACCCUCCUCCCUUUGGAUCAUAUCUGUGGUGUUUCUACCUAUGCAGUGUCUCCCCUUUGAUGCGAAUUUAAUGCAUACUUUAGACCAGCAUGACUAUUGGUUUGAUAAAAGCUUGCAAUCAUCAAGUUUUGAAAUACAUUUUUGUUUUAGUGGUACUAAUUGAUAAACUAUAAAUUUCAGAAGUAACGUUUCUUCCUUACAUAUGUUGCUCUGAUCAGUGAUGGCCAGGGACAUACAUGUGUAUUCUUGCUGCAAAAAAUGUAGGUACAUUUGGAUUUUCGUUGUCCACAAAUAGUAGCAAUUCUAUGCUUUCUUGCUUGAUACAGUGUGGUGGAUGACGGCUUGCUUCCACUUGUACGGUAGUUAUUAGGGAGAUUUUCCUAAAGAAUAUAGCCUAGCCAGAAACCCGUGAAACUAUGAUCAAUUAGAGGCAUUUUGUGAAAGAGAUUAGGUUUUAGUUAGUUUAUUAUUUUUUUGUCUAUUUUAUUUCUUUCAGAAAAAAUUGCUAUAGUCUAUGAGUUGGUUCUUAGCCUUCUACUCGAAGAGGUGAGUAAAUGCAAAUCUUUUUUAAAUGAUUGUUUAUUAUCCUCCAAUCAUGAUCUCCUCUAUGUGUUGCGAAAGUUGGAGCAGAUGAUGAAUGUUUUGAUUCAAAUAUUAAGGUAGAAAAAUGUUUCAAUGGCAAAUAAGACACCACUUUAAUUUCUGAAGGCAAUUAAGGAAACAGGAACUUUUGUAGUAUAUCCUAAAAACCUGCCGGUUACAAUCAAGUUACCUCAACUGAGAACAGACGCAAGCAUCACCUGCAUCCAAGUGCACUAAACCCCUAGCUCCCCUCUAACUGAUAAGGUAGUUAGAUUAAAGGUACAUGUUCAGCUGGCAUAGCCUUACCCUUUCAUUUUUUAUGUUAAAGUGCUAAGAACUGAAUUUAUGCUUCGAAGCCAAGGAUUAUAAUUCUGGUACAUUGAGGUUGAGCAUUCAAGUCAACAUUCAUGCUUCUUGGGCUUCGGCAGCAGCGCAACAUGCAUACAUGUUUCAGGAAGUCUCAUCAGGCACAAAAGCAAGUCUAAAAUUCUGAUAUAGGUUUAAUAAAUGUAUGAAUAACUUGAUCCUUCCAUCUAUUCUUCUUUUCUUUCUUUCUCUGCAACCAUGCCUAAGCAAACUUUUUCAUAAGAGAAAAGAAGUUUUACAACAAAUGGUAUUAUUAAGCCAAGGCUUCUGUAAUCUAGGAUUUUGGUUUCUUUAACUAUUUUUUUCUCAAACACUAAUGCUGGAAGUAAGUAUGAUUGUAUUAAAGCCUUGUCAUGACUGUUUAAAAGUUGUUGCAGUGUAGAAUCAGUGAAAGUAUGGACAUAGCAGAAUAAUUCAUAUGUUUCAACUCUUUUGCCUGUUGAACUGUUUGACUUAGCCAAAAAGAUACAUCACUCAGCUCGGAAAGCCAAUCCUUUCAGCUCAUACUCAUGAAUUGUGAUACCCCAAUUUUCUGAAAAGAAGUUAAAUUUCUUUUUCUCUUUUCUUUCAUGUUCUGUGGCAUUGGGGUUUGGAGUUUCAAGAGGCAUUCCUCAGGAAACAGUAGAUCUUUUGGCAUUUUUUCCGCUAGGGUCGGGAGCUCAAAUGGGAGAGCGAGUUUGGGCCAUUGAUCUCGAUCUGAUGGAUGGGAGCCUCCUCUCCUCCCCAACCCUAGCCGACCCCCUCUCCUUCUCCCUAAUGGUUGCAGCUACCCCCACCCUUUCCACCCCUUUGGCCGCCGCCCCCUCCCUCUCUUCCCCAUUGGCAGCCGCCCCCUACCCUCUCCAUGGCUUCCUCCUCGCUCUAGGUCUCCCCCACGCAGCAAGGAUCAAGAAGAGGAGGAGCAUGUUGAAUUGAAGAUGAAGAGAGGAUCAAGGAGAUGUUCUACCCCAUCUCUUCUUGCAGAUCUUCUUGGGGAAACCCUAGGUGGCUACACUCUGGAUCAUUCCUAGUACACUUUUCUUCUUCGAUAAAGGCAAGUGAAUGUAGCGGUGGUUGCUACCGUUUUGACUUGUUGUUUUUUUAUCGCCUACACUUUAAUAUUCAGAAUUAUGGAAUUCUUUCAUAAUUGAACUCUAUGGUGAUGCUUUACUUGCUUGUAUUAUACUAAUGCUCAACCAUAUAUUGAUGAUGAUUAUGAUUCGAGUAUGACCCAGGAGAUUAAUUCACACCCCUGAAGGUAAACAAAAUAUUAUUUGAGGUUUGUAUUGUAUGUGAAGGAAGUGAAGUAUAUUGUUAAAUGCAGCAUGCCAUAUACAUUGCAUGAUUCACUUGCAUCUGAAAUUUGUCGUGACCUAAUGUCUGACUGUACCGGUACAACUUAGCAUCGUACGUUGCCCGAGGAGGGGUACGAUGCGGCUUCAUACCCUUAGAGGUAUGAAGGCAGAGGACAUAUGCAUUGCAUUCAUAUGCAUUCUUGAAGUGAUAUUUGCAGAGGACAUGGUUUUAUACUCUCAUAGGUACGAAGGCAGAGGACCUACAUAUUGCAUUCCUAUGCAUACAUUGAAGUUAUAUUUGCAGGUAUUGUUGAAGCAGGGAAGUGUUAUACAACCUAUUGUGGUUGUUCGAAGAAAUGAGAUGGUAUUGCGGUUAUUGGGACUAUUGAGUUCUAUAUCUACACGUAUUUUGGAUCUUAAUUGUGAUUUCUUUAAAAUGUUGAUUAAUUCAAUUUGUGGUUUAAAUAUCUCGUCAAAACAAUUUGCUUGCUGAGAUGUUUCAUCUCACUCUUGCAUUACUCAGUGCAGGUGCUUGAUGCUCGUCAAGGGGAGUGGGAAGUAGCGGCACGUUGCACACACUGUUUAAAGAACCAAAUAAUUAGCUUUGGUUAUUGACUUUUGAAGUUCAUAUUUUGAAAUAUGAUGUAGGCAUAAGCUGGUUCAUUCAUGGUUAAUCAUCUUUGAUGAGAAUUAUAUCAUAUUAGUAUGAUUCAUUUUGUAUUGAUAUAUCUCUUUUGCUUCUGCGAUGCUUAUAAUUACAAAGGAGACGCUGCCAAAUUUUGUUUUGCUUAGUGUUCGGCCGUUGGUAGUGAAGUCUAGUAGCAUCUCGGGGUGUUUGUGGAUCCCGGGGUGUUACAUGAAUAAAAGAGUUCUCUUCUUCAUUUUUGCUUCUUCUAGAGCUAACUAAAUCUGUCAAGUCUGUUACAUUCUGAAUAAGCAGAUCAUAUAACCAAAUAUGUUCUUCUGGCUUCGUGAUUUGCUCAUUUUUUCAUCUCGGUGCUUUGUGAAUUUACUUUUAUCAAUGCUUAUUAGUCCUCAAUCUAGAACAACACUAACAGCCUUGUCAAGACCAUUCAGGUCAUCUCUUAUAUCCUCACCUUUGCUAGCAUAAGCCAGGUUAUUAUGGAUGCAGCUCCAAGCAUUAUGGAAAAGUGUGACCAAGCGAGUUAAACUCAGUCAUCAAAGUUGUUGUUGUGAUCUUGUCUCAGACAAUACAACCUCCAUCUUUGCCUUGAGAAGAUCAUUAACAGUAUCCAGGAGUUCAUACAACGAGCAGUCCGUGGUUCCUGAGGUGUUGCGGAAGACCUUCCUGAGCAACAACCUGGUGAAGACAAGUGUCCUCUGACCCAUUAUGUCCCAUUCAUUUAUAAUUCACUGUCCCGCAUUAUAUUACUGAAACCUAAGGAUUGACUAGUCUGUAUUUACUUAUCCUUGUUUACCUUUUGGGUUAUCAUGGUUAGCUUUAUGCUAUUGCUUUAACUUAAUCAAUGAACAUGAUGUGAUUAUUUAUGAUACGAUGAUGUUAUCUCGAUGAUGAUAUUGUGAUAUAUUAGGGGGCUCAGGCCAUUUUCCUGAGUACCUCU
Zea mays is the source of this 4909-nucleotide long non-coding RNA. RefSeq lists it as uncharacterized. The transcript is spliced from 5 exons. The record is from RefSeq and is a predicted model, not a curated record. NCBI's taxonomy places the organism in Eukaryota, Viridiplantae, Streptophyta, Magnoliopsida, Poales, Poaceae.